UACGUAGGGUGCAAGCGUUGUCCGGAAUUAUUGGGCGUAAAGAGCUCGUAGGCGGUCUGUCGCGUCGAAUGUGAAAACCCGGGGCUCAACUCCGGGCUUGCAUUCGAUACGGGCAGGCUAGAGUUCGGUAGGGGAGUCUGGAAUUCCUGGUGUAGUGGUGAAAUGCGUAGAGAUCAGGAGGAACACCGAUGGCGAAGGCGGCCUACUGGGCCAGCACUGACGCUGAGGCGCGAAAGCUCGGGGAGCGAACGGG
RNAcentral lists this ribosomal RNA (253 nucleotides) under uncultured bacterium. RNAcentral's name for it is "partial 16S ribosomal RNA". It matches the Rfam family "Bacterial small subunit ribosomal RNA", at positions 524 to 776 of the family's 1533-position model. The record is from RNAcentral.